Molecule: long non-coding RNA, 531 nt
Organism: Canis lupus familiaris (dog)
Lineage: Eukaryota; Metazoa; Chordata; Mammalia; Carnivora; Canidae
Exons: 3
Source: RefSeq, a predicted model, not a curated record
AGCCUGCUUCUCCCUCUGCCUGUGUCUCUGCCUCUCUCUCUCUCUGUGUGUGACUAUCAUAAAUAAAUUAAAAAAAAAAUUUUUUUUAAUUAAAAAUGAGAAAAUAGAGGUUAGUAGCUCUCCCCAUGUAACACAGCUUGUCAAGAGUAGAAGAAAGAUCUAAACCAGUGUCUGAGACCAAAAGCUAUGCCUUAUCUCAACUCCACACUGCUUUCAGAAGAGGAGUUUGCUACUGGGGGACAUCACUCAGCAAGAAGCAUGAAGGAACUUCUGCAUCAGGUUGGAUUGACUCUAAACUAAACAAAAACAGAAACAAAUCAGCAUAAGUAUGAUCACAUCAAUAACACAACCACUUAAAAGAAGAAAAAUAACGAUUCCAAGUAAUUUCUUAAUCCGAGGACUGUAAUUUUCCAUCAUCAGGGAGUGUUCUAAGGAUAAAUAAGAACUCUAAGAAAACCUUGAAAUCAACUUGCAAGGCUAUCAUUCAGAAUAGAAGAGAUGAAGAGUUUCCCAGACAAACAAAAACUAAAG